AUAUUGGGCCUGAAGGCGAAAAGCCAAGCCAGUGCAGCGUGAGAAGGGGAGGAGACAUUCACUCAAAUAGAAUCUAAAUGGGGAGGAAUUAAACGCGCGUGUGCUUCACACUUUAAUUCAAAAAUUCAGUUCAGCUCCCUCACCUAAAAAAACUCCCUCCGCCGCGCUGGAAUUUAUCGUCGGUGGUGGUAGAGGCUAAACCGCUAAAUUGCUAUGCCAAAUCCCUCAUCUCCAUAACCUUAAUCUAACUCCACCAUCCACUCUUUCAAUUCCUACACCUCAAUAUAAACGUAACAACUUGCACAUGAAUCCUAACUAGCAAAAAUCCAAAUUAAACUCUCCAGAUACAGAAUCAAAGCCCGAACGGUUAGGACUUUGAUUCUCUGAGCAUUCAAUUACAUCACGGCAACAAGCUUAAUGUGAAACAGAAGAAAAAUCCACCUACCUUCCGGAGAAGACGAAGUCGACGGCGGAAUUCCGGUGUGUGUUUGAUCCAUAUGAUUGACUGGUAAGCCUUGGCUACCUUCGAUGAUGGCGAUACAUGUUUCAAUCUGGAGGUUCAGUUCUCACAGCCGUGCAAAAAUUCCUACAAAACAAGCUAUGAGUCGACUCAAACAGGGGAUGAGUCGACUCAAACAGAGUUCAUUCCAGGGUUGAGUCGACCUGGGAGUCGACCUGUUCGGACCCGCGGCGAAAUGGUUCAAAGGAAAAUGGGAAAUGAGUCAAUGUAAGGAGUGAAUGAGUCGACUCAUCCAGGUUUCCCAGAAUUGCGUCGACCUGGGAGUCGACCUGUUCGGACCCGAAGGAACAUGGUUCAAAGAAAAAAGGGAAAUGAGUCGACGCAAGGAGUGAAUGAGUCGACUCAACCAGAUUUUCCAGAAUUAGGUCGACCUGUGACUCGACCUAUUCGUACCCCAAGGUUUUGCGUCGAGUCAUGAGUCAACUCACGGGGUUAAAACUUCCAAAAAUAAGUUUUUGCAACGUAUUGUGACAUUUCCUUGUAUUUCUUGUAUGUAAUGAAUAUUUUAUUGAUGAAAAUGAAUGGAAUUGACCGAUUAAAUGAAAA
This is a long non-coding RNA of Lathyrus oleraceus (garden pea), 1066 nucleotides long. RefSeq lists it as uncharacterized. The record is from RefSeq and is a predicted model, not a curated record. The transcript is spliced from 2 exons. Lineage: Eukaryota; Viridiplantae; Streptophyta; Magnoliopsida; Fabales; Fabaceae.